GUGUUGGAGGCGGAGGAGAAACGUGUAAUCACCCAAACAACCAUUUUUACCCAGUGCACCCCCUCUGGCUCUGUGUCGCAAGUCUGCAGGUUAUCUGUCUUUCACUGCGGAUACCGCGGAGGGAGGCCGGACCGUGAGGGAGACAGUAAGAGGAGGAAGAGGAAAAUCAGAAGCCCAGGAGGACAGGAAAUCGCAUGCCAGAAACACAUUACUCCUGAAGUCCAAUUUGCGUGAGUUCUAUUAUUAGAACUUCUGUUUGACCAGACCAUACCUCAGGGCGCUGGGUCUUUAUCGGCAGGACUGGGGAAGCAGAGAUCACCGGACUGGUAAUUGUUUCCUCUAAAUCUGCUGAGCUCUGAGGAACACCAAGUGCAGUUUUUCAUCAGACAGAGAAUGAGAGGGUAAAAGGACAAUACUAAGAAAAGCAAAAAUGCUUUAGUCCAUCAUGUUGGUUUUUAUCACUUCAUCUAACAAGUGAGUAAGGCCACUAGCCUUCCACACAACAUAAUUAUAAACACAGCUUUUGCCACUGCUAUGUUCACUGGAGAAAGGUUGAUGUUGGUUUCUGCUGCUGCUGAGCAGCAUACAACAUUUUCUUUAAACAUGGCUACCAGAAAGAAAAGAGGGGUGGGGGAAUACACAAUAAAUUGCAUACAUAUUUUAAAUUUGAUAGAAACAGAAGGAGAAUUGAGGUGUUUUGAAAAGCACCUUAGCGCUAACUUGAUUUGACAUUUUCCUAUUGAGUCAAAGCUCAGCAAUAGGCCUGAUAUCUCAUUUAGCUGGAAAGUGAUGUGCUCUCCUCGCAGCCACAAAAAGACAUCAGAAAGGCAAAGUACUGCCACUCUCUACUCGGACCAAUUUGUCUCCAUCACUCCAUUCAUAUAAACACUGAAUGAUUUAGCUAAAAUUGUGCAGAGAAUCUUAUGGGGAUUUUUUUCCCCCACUUUAUUUUCAUUAUUCUUCCGAGUAUGUUAGAGGUUUCGAUUCUAUGUGUGCGUUUGGCUUUGAAAGUCUCAGAUUUAGUGCUGUGGUAUUGGCUCAUUUUUCAUAUCCAUUGUUGGCUUGUCAGGGUGUCAUAGCUGUUCCACAGAGCUGUUAGAUCAGUCCAAAUGUAUAAAUCAUCCAGGAUCUGACACACUCAUUUAAUUUGGGGGGCCCUGGUGCAGCAGCGGGCCUAUUAAUGAAAAAUCCCUGCCCUGUUUGCUGAGUGGGAACAUUCAGCCUUUUUUAUUUUAUCUUUUAUUAACAUUGAUAUUCUGUAUGAUUUCCCUCAGUAGCCUGUUGGCUGCCAACCUGGCACAUUGUCAUUUAUCAUCAUGUUAUGUUUGUCAAUCUGUUGAAUUAUUUCAUUCAAAAGUCCUUAUGAAAAUCACUUUGCAUAUUAAGAAAAAGGGGCAAACUCUGAGGGCGCUAGGUGGGCCAAACCUCUCACAUUCCUCAGUGCAGCGGUGGUUCCAACCCCGGAGCCUGUGUUAUUGUUUUCCAUCUGUGAAAUAAAGUAACAGGUACUUAAUGUACCAAAAACAAUUUGUACAGCAGUUCUUUUUCCCCAUUGAAGGCAAGCAUGGCUCGCUGAGGGCUCCCCUUAUCUCAGCGAGGCUAAUCCAUUUUCACACUGCGCUCCGGCGCUCUCAUUUUACAGCUGAGGAGCUCUCCGGCUCCACGCUGGGCCUGAAAUGGGACCCCAGUCACUGUGGCCCCUUGGAGUUUGCGUAGGUAAGUGUGCAGAACAAAUGCUGAAAAGUCUUUAAAAAGUUAAAGGGACUAGUUUGGCUUUUUUUUUCUCUCUCUCUCUCUCACUGGGUCCCACCUGAUCACCUACAUUUUUCCUGCAUUUCACAGUGUGAGCUGCUGUGCUUGAGCGCUGUCACAGGAGAGUGUUGGAAAUUGGAGGAGCAUGCAGAAAGUCAAAAGAUGGUGUAUAUCUGUGAGUUAUUAUGUACUGGUGUGCACUGAUGAACUGUUUGUUUCUUGUUUGUUUUUUGUGAAUGUAUGUGAAUUCACAGGCGUUACUAUGAUCUAUUAAAGUGUAUGUCACAGCAUAAAACUUUGUCAAGUCGAUGCACUUGUGCAGACUGAUAUAAAGCCACUGUUUAUAAAGAAUUUAUUAAUACCACAUGUGUAAACUGCAGUAUGAGCUACGUAAAUGGG
Long non-coding RNA from Siniperca chuatsi (mandarin fish), 2151 nucleotides. RefSeq lists it as uncharacterized. Lineage: Eukaryota; Metazoa; Chordata; Actinopteri; Centrarchiformes; Sinipercidae. The transcript has 4 exons. The record is from RefSeq and is a predicted model, not a curated record.